CGCCAGCUGUGUUUCAUCUGAAUACAUAUUUAUUAGAUAAAUAUUAGGAUGUCACAUCAUCUAACUACAUACAGAUUUGCAAGACUAAAAAUCACAAUGUUCUUCUGACCAGUUUAGAAUAUGAAAUGAUUGUACAUAGAAUGUACAAAACCAAAUAGACAACUGCCACUUGUGCCAAUCACUUCAGAUUGUACCUUUAUAGCAUAAGUUUGCCAAAUUGCAUAAAAAUUAUAAAUUUGACAAAAUGUUUUACAAACUGUAAAUUUUGGAAACAACCCUCGAGAGCCUUCUCGAAGCUCGAUGUCUCCCGAGUCCCAAUUAUACCUCAAAAGGUCGGAAUAAUUUCGUAGCACCUUUAUAAAGUACACAGGUAAUAACGAAAUACACAGAAUUUUCAUAUUACACAAGAGGAAAAAUGUCUUUUCUUUUUCUUGAACCCCUUGUUGAGGGGUUCAUAAAGUAUCUUACAUAAAUGAACAGGCAUGGUUAGAGAGGUCUGCACAGACAUAAUCAAACAGACUCAUUUUCCCAAUUCAAUGUCUGACAGGAGGAUGCAAGCUUUACAAAUUCUAAAUACACUAUGCACACUCCCACUGGAGAAAAUGAAUACAUUUCUGUUAACGUGUCUCUAUUUGUCAUUUACAUUAUGUACAAAUAUCCCUUAUAUCCCCAAACCCGUCCCCCAAUCCUUACUGGGGGUCUUUCCCGAAUUUCAUUUUACAAUAUUAAUCGUCUUCUCCUUUAAAUCCUCAACUAGUACAAAGUGUGUCGCGAAAAUUACUCGAUUUUUGUGAAAGGUUACAGUCAUGAUUACACACUGUGUAGGGAAAUAAAACAUCCCAAUGCGGCAGUGCAUUGUCUUUAACAAACAUAUAAACAAACACAAAACAUUUGACUCUUUCAGCUGUGUUGUAUGCAGGCCAUGUGAUUACUCUUGAAGCCAAAAUGCGGUUCUUGAAAAGGGAUCAUAAAGCCUAAAUAUGGGCGACCUUUUUUUUUUUUUUUUUUUUAAUCGACGACAUACAGUUUACUUCAUAUUCAUUGUCUUUACUGCAUAAACUGACGUAAACCAAAUUUUACUCUCAUACAAACACUGGACAAAAAUAACUUAAAAUGCAAAACAAAAGUGAUGGAAACACAGAUCGAUGGCUAUGAAAAGCUCAGUAUCACACCUCAAAACCAUCCAGAGAACAUUUUUUUUGCACAUUCUCACCUUAAAUAAAGUAGAUGAGGAUCCAAUAAUAUUGAACAAAUCCGUUUUGGAGAAAUUUGGACCUCAGAGCUGCAUUAACAACCUUUUAUAUAUUUCUUCCUGCUGAUUCAAAGUCACAGAGUAAUGGAAAAAACUGUACACAAUACACAGGUACUUAAUAAAAAGCCAGUGAGAGUGCAUUUAAAUCAAUUCCUUACAAUGUUGGACUGUUUAUCGGGGACUGUGUGUAUUUAAUGUGUGUGAGUUGUCACCGACAGACACGCAGUACCAUGUAGAUGCCAGUAAUAGUUAGGUACAGUACUGUACAGUCACAAUGUAUUCACAAAGGGUAUAUACAACAGCUCUGGAAACACUGUCGGGUCAUGCAGGUUGUUUUUUUUCUUCCCCCCUCCCAAGCAGUAAUAAAACAACAAAAGAUCAGUACAGUCAUACAGAUAUCUUUUUUUUUCUGUGUGUGUGUGUUUGAUUUUUUUUUUUAUAAAACACAGUGAUUUUAAAAACUUCUGUGGAUGUCUGUGGGAUGCUGAAAUCCUGCUGUUACACCAACACACAGUAAUAUCCAGACUCAACCCCUUACAAAAAGCACAGGACAGCUGCGGUGACUGAUUCGUGUCAAUGAAGGGAAGGGAGCAGGAGGUUGAACGAAGAUAAAACACAAAGACGCUGACAAAAAACAAAAAAAACCCCGAUGAAUU
This is a long non-coding RNA of Oreochromis aureus, 1908 nucleotides long. The record is from Ensembl. NCBI's taxonomy places the organism in Eukaryota, Metazoa, Chordata, Actinopteri, Cichliformes, Cichlidae.